Molecule: unclassified non-coding RNA, 327 nt
Filed under: uncultured fungus
Lineage: Eukaryota; Fungi
Description: partial contains 5.8S rRNA and ITS2
Source: RNAcentral
AACGCAAAUUGCGCUCGAGGCUUCGGCCAAGAGCAUGUCUGCCUCAGCGUCGGGUUAAUACUCACAUUUGCACUCCAUCCAGAGUGCAAAUGUGGAUCUGGCUGUCUCGGUUUAUUUUAAUUAAUUAACCGGGUCAGCUGAAGUGCAGAUGUCAAGGCAUGGACCGUUAAAUCGGGACUCUAAUGGGUAUGCAACUUGUUUGCUGUAUUGAGUUAGUAGAAGGGUUAAGAGCUGUCUUUCGCACGAAGCAGGAAGAACUGUUCAUACAGGUACAACUAAUAUAAUUUUCUUGACCUGAGCUCAGCCAAGAUUACCCGCUGAACUGAA